This 433-nucleotide ribosomal RNA is filed under the name uncultured bacterium. RNAcentral describes it as "partial 16S ribosomal RNA". It matches the Rfam family "Bacterial small subunit ribosomal RNA", at positions 29 to 507 of the family's 1533-position model. The record is from RNAcentral.
AACGAACGCUGGCGGCAUGCCUAACACAUGCAAGUCGAACGAGACCUUCGGGUCUAGUGGCGCACGGGUGCGUAACGCGUGGGAACCUGCCCUUAGGUUCGGAAUAACUCCCCGAAAGGGGUGCUAAUACCGGAUAAUGUCUUCGGACCAAAGAUUUAUCGCCUUUGGAUGGGCCCGCGUUGGAUUAGCUAGUUGGUAGGGUAAAAGCCUACCAAGGCGACGAUCCAUAGCUGGUCUGAGAGAAUGAUCAGCCACACUGGGACUGAGACACGGCCCAGACUCCUACGGGAGGCAGCAGUGGGGAAUAUUGGACAAUGGGCGAAAGCCUGAUCCAGCAAUGCCGCGUGAGUGAUGAAGGCCUUAGGGUUGUAAAGCUCUUUUAACCGGGAUGAUAAUGACAGUACCGGGAGAAUAAGCUCCGGCUAACUCCGUG